ACAAGUAGGGACUCUGUGCCAGACCCAGCCCUGUGUGAGUGUGUUUUCAGAACAAAGUUUAGGAGGUGGCUACAGCUUACAAUAACUGUUCAAGAUCAGAAUUUAGAAAAUGAACCAAGAAGUUUUUCUUUAACUACAACCUCACUUUAUUGAGUUUUAUAUUGAUUUUAUAGCUUUGAGUAUUUCUCAGAAACUCGACCAGUGAAUACUGAUGUCUUGGGCACUGACUAAAACAGCUUUCAUCCCAUCACCUGGCCUGACCAUGACAAUGCCAGGCAUUUAGCUGCUGCUCUCCCCUGAGCCAGUGCACGUGCCACAACCGCCAUGCUGAUUAAAAGGCACCGCUUAUCUGAAGUAGCAGCAACUCCCUGGGGAUCGUGCAUCUGCUGCUGCCACCAACAUGGUCCAACAUAAACAGAUAAGUAACCCAGGCUUUCUGACCAGAGGUGGGAAAGAGUAUCAAAGGCAACCAAAUUCAAGCUGUUCUCAAUGACAUCAGAGGACAAGGAGGGAUUUCUGGGUCACACAGGCUGCUCUCAUAACUGGAAGCAGCAUAAAUGUGCCAGGCUGUUGCUCCUGGCAACCUGUACAUUUGGAGGGUGGGAGGUGGUUUAAGUCAUAGAAACUCUUCUUUUAACAUGUUUUAAUGCAAGACCAGUGUUAGCUGAAAAGGAUGAAGACCAUAUAUAAAUGUUGCGGGCAGCUUGAUCUAUCAGUAAUUUGGCUUGUUGAGACCCAAGUUAAUUUCAACACUAAUAUGGGUAUAAAAAGCCUACUGACUAGAGGAACGAUGUUUCACUGUGUCUUCGGGAGUAACAUAUCUGGCUCUGAUGGCUACAUGUUGCAGCAAAUUUAACUAAAACAAGUUAAAACCUUCUGCUGACAUGAUAGUGGUGUCUGGGUAGAGCACAGAGAGAGCACUUGAUUUGAACAGUGUGCUGUGACUUACAUUUUUUUACAUUUUAUUUAUUUUAAGUAUUUUGAAGUUGGUGAAUAAAGACUUUUCCUUGACAACUGUUUUUUUUUAUAUCAGUGAAACAUGGCUGCAACAACAAAUCAACAACAGAGUAAAAAACUGCACUGACCCCAAGUUACCUCACAAAUGUACUUAAGCAUAUUCAACCUUAUGCAACAUGAAACAAAGACUGCUGCACUUUUUGGGAUUGAACUUUGUGGAUAGUCCCUAAAGACACAUAAGAGUUAUUUGUUGUGUUGUGUUUGAAAGAACAGUAAUAAAUUUCCAUACCAACAA
Long non-coding RNA from Melanotaenia boesemani (Boeseman's rainbowfish), 1252 nucleotides. RefSeq lists it as uncharacterized. The record is from RefSeq and is a predicted model, not a curated record. The transcript has 2 exons. NCBI's taxonomy places the organism in Eukaryota, Metazoa, Chordata, Actinopteri, Atheriniformes, Melanotaeniidae.